This 152-nucleotide microRNA precursor is filed under the name Spinacia oleracea (spinach). Its description in RNAcentral is "MIR398 microRNA precursor family". It matches the Rfam family "MIR398 microRNA precursor family". The record is from Rfam by way of RNAcentral. Lineage: Eukaryota; Viridiplantae; Streptophyta; Magnoliopsida; Caryophyllales; Amaranthaceae.
AUACACCCCAGAGGAGUGAUUACUAAGAACACAAGAUGUAAUUAGCUUUUUAAAUUUGGUGUUACGACGUUGCCACUACUAAUAAUAAUUACGGUGGUGUUACGUGUGGCUAAUUAUCUCUUGUGUUCUCAGGUCACCCCUUUGGAGAAUAU